UUCAAUUUGGAGAGGCAAGAAAUUAUAACUGUUUAGUGAAUUGAGAAGGACACGGACUAGAACUGAUAAAGAUAUUGACCCUAUGUCUCCCUACUCCUAAAAUCACCACUUGAGGCUUCCAACCAUGGGUGGAGAAACUUUCCAAUGCUAAUAAAGACCUCUGUCAAUCACCAUACUGAUACAAAAAGUAAAAGGCCAUGGCAUUCAGUGCAGCUUUCUGGACUCAUACUGUCUCCAGAAGCUGAAUGUUACUUUGGUGUGGAUCUUUGAUGAUUCCUACAUGAUAAGUCCUAUUUUAAGACCUCACAUCACCAUCACCACUACCACCACCAUCCCCUUAGGCAGAUGCGUGCCUUGAUUGGAGAAGAGAAAAAAAUAUUUCAGACAAAAAAAAAGGAAAAAAGUCAAAUAAUUUUUAAAAGGUAAUGUUAUAUAGAUAUGAAACUAAAACUGUAUCAUACAUAAAUAAAUAUAUGAACUGCUCAAAGA
Kogia breviceps (pygmy sperm whale) is the source of this 489-nucleotide non-coding RNA. The record is from RefSeq and is a predicted model, not a curated record. NCBI's taxonomy places the organism in Eukaryota, Metazoa, Chordata, Mammalia, Artiodactyla, Physeteridae.